This 335-nucleotide RNase P RNA is filed under the name bovine gut metagenome. RNAcentral's name for it is "Bacterial RNase P class A". It matches the Rfam family "Bacterial RNase P class A". From Rfam's summary of the family: Ribonuclease P (RNase P) is a ubiquitous endoribonuclease, found in archaea, bacteria and eukarya as well as chloroplasts and mitochondria. The record is from RNAcentral.
UCGUGCCAUCGCUGGCGCCGAAAGGCGCCUGAGGAAAGUCCGGGCAGCAAAGGGCGGCGCCCUGUGGAAAGCACAGAUGGGUGCAAGCUCAUGGGGGUUGCAACAGAAAACAACCGCCCGCCGCAAGGCAGGUAAGGGUGAAAAAGGGAGGUAAGAGCUCCCGGCGGGCCAUGGCGACAUGGUCCGGGUGCAAUCCGGCGCGCUGCAAGGCCAUGUAUACCGGCAUUCAAGGACUGCCCGUCCGCUGCCGGGGGGUAGGCUGCGACAGAUAAAUGAUGGCAAGCCCGCUCCCCUGUCAAGGGAAGCGGGCCACAGAACCCGGCUUACAGAUUCUC